RNAcentral lists this ribosomal RNA (234 nucleotides) under uncultured Actinomycetales bacterium. Its description in RNAcentral is "partial 16S ribosomal RNA". It matches the Rfam family "Bacterial small subunit ribosomal RNA", at positions 96 to 334 of the family's 1533-position model. Lineage: Bacteria; Bacillati; Actinomycetota; Actinomycetes; Actinomycetales. The record is from RNAcentral.
UGGCGAACGGGUGAGUAACACGUGGGUGAUCUGCCCUGCACUUCGGGAUAAGCCUGGGAAACUGGGUCUAAUACCGGAUAUGACGAUGGUUUGGAUGCCAUUGUGGAAAGUUUUUCGGUGUGGGAUGAGCUCGCGGCCUAUCAGCUUGUUGGUGGGGUAAUGGCCUACCAAGGCGUCGACGGGUAGCCGGCCUGAGAGGGUGUACGGCCACAUUGGGACUGAGAUACGGCCCAG